Molecule: non-coding RNA, 67 nt
Organism: Lingula anatina
Lineage: Eukaryota; Metazoa; Brachiopoda; Lingulata; Lingulida; Lingulidae
Source: the annotation of a RefSeq genome assembly
UACGAUUAAGUGUAGUUAGCAUACAAAGCUUUGUCUUUGGGGUCGGGAUUGAUAUCCCGGAUCGUAU